Molecule: unclassified non-coding RNA, 89 nt
Filed under: Pseudomonas sp. NFACC14
Lineage: Bacteria; Pseudomonadati; Pseudomonadota; Gammaproteobacteria; Pseudomonadales; Pseudomonadaceae
Source: RNAcentral
UGUGGGAGCGAGCUUGCUCGCGAUGAGGCCAGCACAUUCAGUCUCUAUGGAACUGACACACCGCUAUCGCGAGCAAGCUCGCUCCCACA